Molecule: long non-coding RNA, 2548 nt
Organism: Mustela erminea (ermine)
Lineage: Eukaryota; Metazoa; Chordata; Mammalia; Carnivora; Mustelidae
Exons: 3
Source: RefSeq, a predicted model, not a curated record
ACACGUUCUGGUUGGACUUAACCCCAGCAAAGCCAGGGGAGCCUCACCUCCUAGUCUGAGAGAUCUUGCUUUUCUCUACAAAUGCCCAGGAGCCUCUCCUCCAAGGGCUUUCGGCACCAUGGGCUCUGUGAGCCUGUGCCCCCUUAAAGUUUUCUGCGGGCAGGGUCACCCCAGGGCUGAGGGAGGAAGCCAUUGCUUUUGCCCAGACCUAAGAUCUCCUCAGUCUCCUUCACGGCCGAGAGCUUCAUGCUGACAAGGACUAAUGCCGGGCACAUUUCUACACACCGCUGGUCUACGAACUCCUUCAAUCCCCAUGACAACCCAGUGAGAAAGACCUUGUUGUUAUUAUUAUCAUGCCUAUUUUACUGACCAAGAAACUGAGACACAGAGAGACUAAGUGACCUGAUCAAGAUCUUCAGAUAGUUGACGGCAGCACCAGAAUAUGAGGCACUUUGAGAUUCCCGGGCCAACAGAGAGCAUUGCAUGCUGAAACCUCCGAAGCUAGCUGUGUGACCCUGCACUGGUUAAGUCACCUCUCUGAGCUGCAGUUUUCCCCUCGGUGUGCCCCCGUGGUGGCAUGGCUGGCGUGGAGGCGUGGCUGGCGUGGUCGGGGACUUGUCCGCUGCACCCCACCUGAGCUACCACCUCACACGUCACAGAGGCUGCUCAGAGUCUGAUCCACAGCUUCGCCCUGUGUUGCGGAAUUUUGACAUUUGACAACAGACUUGGGAUGGUCAAAUGCUGCACAUUUCACAAAGAAGACUGGCUUUGGAGCUGCCCCUGGACGAUGACCUCUAAGCCCUUGGAACCAUCUGCGUGAGAAGAGUGUCUUUGGAUACUUGAAGCCUUGGGCCCUGUUGGACAGUUUAUGCAAACUGUGAUUUGUGGUGGGGAUUCUGGGCCCUCCUCAGUUCGUGGGACUUCUGGACAGGCUGGAGACGGGGUUAUGAGGGGCCGUCACAAAGUCCUGACGUGACUGACCCCCAGUAAAAGCUACAGACACCAAGGCUUCGUGGAGCCUCUCUGGCUGAGAGUAGUCUGUGUGAGUUGUCACACGUCACAGCCAGGAGAAUUAAGUGUUGUCUCCAUGAUCCCACUUGGAGGUAUGACUGAAAGCCAGUGCCUGGGCUCUGCCUGGGCAGGUUUUCCCUUUGCUGGUUUAAUCUGUACAUUAACUGUGACGAUACCAGCUUUUCUGAGUUCUGGGAGCCCUUCUAGAAAAUCAUCAGACCCGAGAGUAGUCUUGGGAAUCCCUGACACAUCUUCCCACUCCUUGACUUCUGCUUCUUCCAGAAUGAACCAGAAGAUUCUUCUGUCUGUCUCUUGCAAAUUCAGAGCAUUUGUAUUUCAUACUCUCAGUAGUUUAUCAAGAAAUUUCUUUCAAGUAAAUCCAGUGUUCCCUAUGGAAGUGAUGUUGGUAAAAACAAUUUUCUCUAGCUUAUCUCCUUUUGCAAACAUGCCUAGGAAGUAUGUGUGUGUGUGUGUGUGUGUGUGUGUGCAUGUAUGUGUGUCUGCAUACACAGACACAUACUCAUACACUAGAACCAGGACUAGGAAUUACUUUACUGCCAGUAUCUACGGACUAUUUCCAAUUACUGUAAGGCCAGUGAAAGAAAGAAAAAAAAAAACACACACACAGUGGGCAGGGCAUCUCGGAUUACCUCUCUGCAAACAGCGUGAGGUCUCUUUAUCCCCCUCACAGUAACUAAUGUCUGCAUUGGUCUCAUCACACACUUGUAUCAUAAUUUUCUAACCAGUCCUCUCUUGCUGAAUAAUUGCAUUUCCAACAUUUUUCCUUUUCUAUAUAAAGCACCAUUGAAUAUUCUUGUACUAGUAAUCAUUAGGCUCUGCUAUAAUUAUUUCCUUAGCAUCAAUUUCUACACAUGGGAUUUCUGAAUUAGAGAGCACAGACGUUUUUUUAAGAUCUCUGAUAGAGUAUACCUUUUGGGGAUUGUAUCAGUUAAAAAUUCCACCAGUUUUAUGUAAACAUGAUCAUUUCCCUGCUUCCGGAUCACACUGGGCAUAAAUUGCUUGUUCCAUUAAUUAAUUAACCGCUCUAUCAGUAAAAGGAUGGUUAAUUAAAUUACGGUAAUUUUAUAUUUCAGAAUAUUAUGCUGUAAAGAGCAAGGGGAGUUUCUGGAAUAUAAAGGUGGAGAGAAACAAAAAGACAGACUUUUCCUAUCCUAAUAUGACAACAUGAACAAAAAAUUGACAAAAUCUAGAAUUUUUUAAAAAACCACCAGGAAUAUUUAGAAGACUACAGGGAGGUUUAUGACCCCAUCUUCAGGCUUUAAAGUGCCAAUGGCGGAAAUAGAGAAGUUUCGGGGUAUCUACAAGCAGCUUCUCUCCCUGUAUUCCAAGAAGAAGGGUUGAAGAGUGGGUAGAAGGUACAGGUGAAAAUACUGAGUAAUAGCCCCAGUUUGGAGAGAAGCCAACUGAGGGGAUGAGCCCCAGCCCAGAGAGCAAGUUCCCCCAUCCCCUAGAGGGGAAGCCGCUUGCCUUCAUCUCGCUGUUCUAACAGUGAGGGGUAAACCAGGAGGGGCUGGCG